UUGUGAUUUUAAAUGCCUUAUUAAGAGAUCAUUAUGGAUACUGCAUUCAUGUUUGCCAAAAAUCUUAACAGAUGAUUCUAUUCUUGAUUCUGAUAACACAGCUGUUUAUAUUGCUGCCAGUAGGAAAGGAACAGAUUAAAAGUGACUGCUGAUGAUCUUGGAGCCUGAAUUCGCAGGAUACCCUUCCUAAAGGACUACUACCAGAUGACUGCCACAGCUUUCAAAAAUGGACACAAUUGGAGUCAAACCCAUCAAAAGACAGAAGAGGAAAGAACCAAUACUUUAGCCAAGUGAGCAGAGAAGCAUCUAUUUUGUUCCUGCCAAUAAACUGAAGACAACAAGCAGAGAGUGCAAUAACGAUGUAUAAGCCAUAACUUGAUGAAAGAAUACCUAAAGGUGAACUUCGGGCAGGGCAUGCACACGCCACGGCAUCUCCAGCAGUCCUGGCCCUCCACUGGCCCCGCUGGAAGGACUCCUGUCACCCCAAUGUGGCCUUCUUGAGCCCGUGUGCCCCAAUUUUCCUUCCUCAGAACGGGUGUAGGUUGUGCCCAGGAUAUGCACAUGGAUGGAUGCACCUGGAAAUGUUUCUGUAUCCUACUGAGAGAGUUAUCCGGCGGUUUAGUCUCCUUUUAGACACUCAAGGAUCUAGUCAGCACUUGAAUCUGAACCCAGAGACACUCCCAGCACAGUCUCCACACAGAAAUUUUUGAAUCGAGCACGGAUCCAGAUCCAGCCCCGGUGGACAGGAGCC
RNAcentral lists this long non-coding RNA (751 nucleotides) under Dromaius novaehollandiae (emu). RNAcentral's name for it is "lncRNA (ENSDNVG00000007451.1)". Lineage: Eukaryota; Metazoa; Chordata; Aves; Casuariiformes; Dromaiidae. The record is from RNAcentral.